GCGCACCAUGCUGCGCGAAGGAGUAGCGCAUCCUCCGGCUAUAUGCUGCGCGGAUAUUCUUUUAUUCCUCGGGAAUUCGCGGCGCGUUCGCAACGAAUUUGUUUACACGUUUACUUUCACUUAUUUAUCGCGGCGAGCCGGGCGAUUAAAAUUCAUGACUAUUCGCUUCCGUUUCAAUUUUUAAAGAAUCGCGCGCAACGAUACGUUUUCGCUGUUUGUUCGCUGGUUGUGCGUCUGAAAAUUGACAAAUAAUAAAUGUGUUUUCGCGAAGUUGCUGAUUCUGUUAGAGGUUAUAUGUGAAUUGGACUAAUUAUGUUUGGAAUAGUAAACGGAUUUUGGUAUUAUUUGUCACGGACAAAUACUUUUGUGAAGAAAUGAUAUAAUUAUUGUACAAUAUGCGCCGGUGGAUUUGAAAAUAAUGUACUAGAAAAGAUUUCUCUGUCGCAGAUGAAAAUUGUGUGUUCUUUCAGCGUUAAAUUUAUGUGACGUUGGAAAAACUUUUUUAACAACGAGCAUGGAAUAUCUUUUGAAUAAUUCAAGUGAUAUUGCAUCGUAGAUGAGACUUAAUACGAUUAAGAUAUUUUAGGGAGCUUGAUAAAGAAUUGUUUAAGGAACGGCAAAUAAGAGAAUCAAUCUCUCACAGACUUCUAGAGUAGAAUAAGAGAAAUCCUUAGGAGAAGAAUAAAUCUUCGCACUUUUAAAAAUACAAUUGACCUUGCUACACAUUGAGUGACAAUCUAAGAGAAUCUACCAUAUAAAAACAAGCCCCAAGGCUCGAAUAAUCGCGAAAAUUGCGAAUUAGGGAGAAUUCACUGUAUCUCUCACGUGCAACACAGCUGUCGCUUUACCGCCGCCCCGGCGGACAGGUUGUUUUCUUUGGCCCAGGAUGCACCAAAGUCGCUCUGAAUCAUCAUCAGACUCUACUUCGAAAUAAAAAAUUCGGAAUUCCCGAUUUCGAUGAAUCGAUGCAGAACGAAAGCAAACGCGAUCAGACAUCAAUGUUGCAUUCGAGGUCUGCCGAAGGUUCGCGCGUUUCAUUGCUGUUGCGGAGACUUUUAUUGGCUGCGAGUGCAUAAAUAUAUAUCCAGCGUCAAUCCAAACGAUCUUAGCCAGCCCCUAAGCACAGAAGACUAAAAGGAGAAUAUAGAGAUAAAAUAUAAGAAAUAUAAAUUAAAAAUAUAGGGAUAAAAUAUAAAAAAAUGUAAACUAAAAAUAUAGAGGUAAAAUAAACAAAAAUGUACAUUAAAAAUAUAGAGAUAAAAUAUAAGACUACCUUCGAUGGUCAUAUCGUGUUAUGUACUUCGUAUUCACGGGAGCGCCGUCGAAAGGCGGAGCCUCGCCGCCGCCGACACCGCGAACCAUUUCGAACGCAACGAAGAGUUUUGUUUUCACACGGUACUCGCGUGUACCGUUAUCGUGCGUCGCGAUCGCGUUUUAUCGCCGUCACUCCGUCCAGUCGAUCUCUCUCGCUCGCGCGCGCGCGUCGUGUUGGACUACCUGCGAUCGAGCCUCCCGAUAAAUCGAACACGAUUCCGCGGCUCGUGGAGACGACGCCGCGCCGCAAGAAACGCCUCGCGGACGCGAAUACGUUUCAUUCGGCCGCCGCGGACCGCCGACGCGUCGCCGCGAAGCGAACGGAAUUGAUCGCGCGUUGCGACAGGGCAUCCGAUACUUCUUACAUUUUAUCCCUAUAUUUUCAAUUUAUAUUUCUUAUAUUUUAUCCCUACAUUUUUAAUUUACAUUUUUUUUUAUAUUUCAUCCCUUAUAUUUACCCUCCGCAACACGCCGCUGUCGUAAGUCCCGCGUUAUUCGCAGCUCUCGACGCGCGGAUAAUUUACGGUAUUUUCGAAACGGGAACGAAGAUCGUUCCGAUCUUCGGCGAAGCCUCGAGGAAACGCCGGCUGCGUGUUCACGUGCUCUUCGAGGAUGCUUCCGAGAGACGUCGUUCGUGUUGUACGAGGAAUUAGAGCUGUCGAGCGUAGAGUUACUUCUGCGAGCGCAACA
Megalopta genalis is the source of this 2004-nucleotide non-coding RNA. The record is from RefSeq and is a predicted model, not a curated record. NCBI's taxonomy places the organism in Eukaryota, Metazoa, Arthropoda, Insecta, Hymenoptera, Halictidae.